RNAcentral lists this transfer RNA (84 nucleotides) under Coprinellus micaceus. RNAcentral's name for it is "tRNA-Asn". It matches the Rfam family "tRNA". From Rfam's summary of the family: Transfer RNA (tRNA) molecules are approximately 80 nucleotides in length. Their secondary structure includes four short double-helical elements and three loops (D, anti-codon, and T loops). The record is from RNAcentral. Lineage: Eukaryota; Fungi; Basidiomycota; Agaricomycetes; Agaricales; Psathyrellaceae.
UGCCCCAUGGCUGAGUUGGUUACAGCGUCCGACUGUUAUUCUUGGGCUAUCGGAAGGUCGUGAGUUCGAGCCUCACUGGGGCAG